Molecule: non-coding RNA, 7776 nt
Organism: Anas platyrhynchos (mallard)
Lineage: Eukaryota; Metazoa; Chordata; Aves; Anseriformes; Anatidae
Source: RefSeq, a predicted model, not a curated record
UUAACAACGAUAAACAUUGCUGAGACUUAGCAUGUGGUUUAACGACACAGCAUAAAUUAUUUCUGAUAAAGGGAUCUUCCCAUGGGUCUUACAUUACAGGUUGUUCUCAGAAAAAAAUGCCCAUGAAAAUUGUUUUUCUGAUGACGUAAAUCAACAGAACAUAAAACCAGCAUUAAAGGUGGAUUUUUACUUCAGUAUACUCAUACAGUUAGCACUGUUACUGAAGCGAACACAUGUUAUGAGUUUACAUCAAAGUAAAUUUUCACUGAAGUCUCCAGCAUACCCAUACUAUUUAUCUUCAUUCUUGUCACUUGCUAAACUGUUCUUCAUCUGUCUUUGUUUUUGAAGCCCCUAGAACUCAUCUAGCCACUAGGCUGCUACAUUUUUUGGCAAAGCACUCUUUUGUUCACCAUCCCAGGAUGUAACUUUAUCUCCAGUUUAUUUAUAUCACUCAAAAAAAAAAAAAAAAAGGAAAUUCUAAAGACACGUUACAAUUUUCAACAGCUUUUUCAUGCCAAAAAUUUAGAAAAGAUGUUAGUAUAGCUACAGUUACCUGUAUGAGACUCUAAGCUCAUGGCAUUUGCCUUAUGAAAAUAUAUACUGUCUCAAGUCUUCUACAAAAUUAUAGACACUCCAAAAUACCUGUCGCAUGCAUAUUGCAGUUACUGUUGCCUUAUAUACUUUGACAGUUUCACCAUCUUUUAUGGGAGGGAAUGAGUGACUUGGCAGCAGUAAUAUGCCAGUGGCAAGGACAGAUGGUCCCUUCUCAAGUUUCAUUUCCGAGGGCUGAGAGGUGUUUCCUUCUGAACAUGCAGCAGAAUGCUGUUGUUUAUGGCUGAGACCCAUUGGUCAGUAUGCAGUUUAGAGCAUGGUGGGAAGAUGGAUGGAAGCUGUCACAGCAUCUGCCGCUGGAGAUGAUGGGCUAUGGUGAUUACAAGAGCCGUUGGCACAGCAGGUAUAAAGAACAGCCCAGGCCUGGUCUCAGGACAUGUUAAGGAUGGAAUGGACCCAGAAUGUGCUUGUUUCAGGAAGAAUGCUUCCUCCUGGAGUAAAAUAGGCUUUCUUCUGUCUUGUAUUCAAGUAGCGUCUGAAUAUUUGUUUCAACGCUGUAGAGAAAGUGAGGUCUGCUUCGGAUCCAUCUUGCUACCUGAGUGUCCCUGCAAGGGAAGGGCUCGUAAGUGUUUGUACACGGACACCAGAGCUCACAGCCCACUCGUGCCAAGUCUGACCCGUGAAAAGAGAAAAGGAAUGGAGGUUGGUAUACAAAGCAUCUCUCCAGCUGGACCUGAGAGAAGUCAGAAAAGAUGAACCAUAAAUGAAAACAUCACAUGUUUUAUUGUAAACUUCCAUGAUUUGUGUGAAAGAGAGGAGUUGCUGUUUCAAUUGCUUUACAACGUUCUAUUCUGGGAGAUGGGAGACAGGUGUAAAUCAGGAAUAAGAGAAAAUCAACGGAGUCACACUUCUGCAUCAGAUCAGACUACAAAAAGAACAAGGUCCUGAGCUCAGAUGCAGUGGGAUGAUGUGAAGCAUGACAGCUACCAGGAGACAGAAGAAGGGUGCGUUGGCCUCACAUUCCUGUGUGAAUCACCAUGGCAUUUUUUCUUUCCAAAGUUUCAGCUGCAUGGAGGAAAAAUCAGUUCGAACAAGAGAGACAGAACUUACGUAUAUUCUUCCUGCCUGCACCAGAGCGAGGGGUGAAGACAGAGGAAUGUGGAGAGGAAGGGAACUGCAGUCUGCAUUUUAUCCAUGAGGGCCCAUCCCCACUGCAUGGGAAGCCAGCUGGCUCCUCGUGGGACUGAUCUUCAUUAAGCAGACUGUAUGUAUACAUCAUGUGAAACCAAGACAGAGUUUUUAGCUCCUUAAACUAUUCACCUUUAGCACUGGAGCUGAGGGAAAAUGCUUCUGACCAGGAGCCAAACUGGAGGCUAAAUUGGAACAAACGCAUCCUAAGAAAACUGCUCCUGGUGCAGCCCUGCUGGUAGGACACUGCAGAAACCUUAGCUGACUCCAGGCAGGUAACUUCUGAGGAAUCGAUUCUGCUGGUUUAUUUACAGGUUCUGCUUAAAUAUUUGCCUUACUGGGUGCGUGACAUCCGUUUAGGCAGAUUAACAAUUUGUAUUUGUUCUGCUCUAUGGUAUGUUGAUUUUCAAUAUUUGCUGUGGAAGAGUCUGGUUCCCCCUAUUAAUAUUUAAAAAUAAGGAUUUGCACUUCAGUUGCACUUGGGUAUUCCAAUGGCUUCUGCAGUUAUUAUAGACACUGGGCAGGAGUCAGGAAAGUCAGCAGAGAUGGGAACAGACCCUGACUGCUGUCUCUUCCCCCUAGCCCUGCUCUUCCAGAAAAAAGAGCAAAGGCAUUUGCUUUUUUAGAUUACUAAGACAGUGCUGGAAGGUUAUGUUUUUCAGGGGAACCAAACUCAUUUUUCUUGCCACUGGCUUUAUUCCUUCUUUUCUUCAUUGUAUGUCAUAAUUUUAUUCUUAUAUCAAAUUGAUUAUUCUGACUUCUUGGCAACUCCUGCUGUAGAGAGAUUCUUCUAACUCCCACGGAUCCUGUAACACUGAUCAAAAGUCAACACUUUUACUGCCUAUUGCCUCAAUAUCAACAAUGGGUGAGUAACAGUAGAGUAUUCCUAAUGGCAGACCAAAGAUGUGAAACAAGACAGAAACAAUACAUUAAUCAGCAGGUUGAACGAAUGCUUUAGUUAGGACCUGUUUUACCUUCUCCCACUGCUCACAGACAUGUAAUAGCAUACCAGAACUCCUGUGAAGGCAGUAGUUUGUGAAUCUGCACCUUGAUUUUUGCACACGUAGCUCCCUAGUUUUUUAAAAGCCCAGUGAUACGAAGACAGAAUUUGUGGGUUUUAAGCCCUGUAGUUUGCCUGCUUUUGGAAAAGUAACUCUGUUUGCAUGUAAAACAUCUCAGAUUUUGUGGAGCUGACAUUAAAAAGACCGUUGUUCAGCAGUAUAAAUAUAUGUCUAACCACCCUGGAUUAGUUAUGCUCUGAAUCAUGUCUCCUCACAUCCUAUGAUUCUUGUGCAUUUCCAAUUCACCCUGGUGCUAUGGGGAAAGUGAUGAAGCUAUUCUUUAACUCUUCAAAAUAAAGUGACAAUUGAAAGUAGUCAUUUUGUAAUCUGAUUGAAACACCUCCAACACAGAUCACUUUUAACCUGAGGCAGAUCCUACCUCUGUAUGACUGGUAAAAUAUGACUGUGGGUCUGGUGUUUUCCAGACCACCAUCAACCAAGAUCUGACUUAGCCUGUAUGGUCAUGGUUACAAUUGCCAGUGGUUUUAUGCAUUUUUCAUUUACUAAAUUGCAUCCUGAGCUUCUGAAAGCCCACCUCUCCCACUGCCAGUCUCCCUCUGCCAUCUCUUUCAUACUGUUCUUCAGUGUUUGUUCUUCUGGGCUUAGAUGUGCAGCUGUGCACAGGAAUCCACAGAGCAACAGUGCUUCACCGCUGAAGUAGCAGUCAAGUGCCAAGAACUUCCUUGUGAUAUGCAGAAAUCAGGGCAUUCUCUGGGUAGGAAAAGACCUCAAGCCAACCUUUAGCUGCAACAGUAUAAGCAAACAGCCCUUCCCAAAGGACGGCUACAGCUGUUCUUGCUGACAGAAUCCAGCUUCCAGCCAUGGCUGUUAAUGAACAAGUUCUUUGAAUAAGUCUUCUUUGCUUAUUUGUUCUAGGGAAAAUAUUUGUCACUGAAAUUCAAUGCAAGAUGUAAAAUUCUCUCUUAUGUAUCAUCAUUUCUCUUACUUCCAUCCCAGACCUAAUUUAGUGUCAUAUAAAUUAACGUAACUAGAACACAAGAAUCUACCCACUUGCCAUUUAGCUUAAACUGUGUGUUGACACAGACCAUUAGUGCUGUGUGCCAGACCUGAACCAGGAAAAAUGUCUGAAUCUUAAAUGUGGAUCAAGGACAUAAAUAUGCAGCCAAGGGUAUGAUUUGGUCAGCACUUUCCUGAAGGUCUGCUAAUACCUGUUCAUUAAGUCCUACCUGUUGUGAUAUCCAGUCCCAGUACAGUUAACGACAAGACGAUUACGAGUGCAAGGCAUGCACUAGAAGUAGUCACUGCUGAAGGUUUUACCACCCACACAAAACCCUACGCUUUCCCCAUUCUUCUGAAGUGCAAUAAUCGCUGGAGAGUCUGGAUCCUGUUAAGAGUCACUGUAAGUUUGAUUCCAGCAUCUCAUUUAUCAUUUCAUUUCCCAAGCAGUAUGCAUGACUGCACACUGGCUGACAGUCUUUAUAAGGUUCAUCCUGCUAAUCACAUGUAUUCUUCAGAAAGCAGUUCCCUGGAUUCUGCAAAAUCUCCAUGAUUUCUGCAAUUUUGGCAGACAAAACCUCCUUGGGUAGAAUGAUGAUCUCAGGCAGUUUCUCACAGACUGUCAGAGCGUAAAUGACAAAUGCGGGAGAUCUUAGGGCCCCAUCUUCCUGGCUAGCCUUCACGUUUGCAUCUACUUUUUGGCUUUGGUGAGGUUUUAAAAGUUCUCUCUCAGAUACACGAGAACAAUCUCAUGUAUUCUGUUUUUACUGUUCUGGUCAAGGCAUUUGGCUGAGAUCUGUUACACUGAAACCACUAUAAAUUUGCCAGUUUUUAAGGAUUUCAGGCACUUUGAGACAAAUUUUUCUCCUUCACGCUUUGGCUUAGUGCAUCCUUUCAUAAAAUCUUUCUGAUGAUCCAAAAGUAGCUCUGACUUUGCCAUUACCCAGGAGGUCUGGCAGAGCUAACCUUCUGGACUUCAAGGUAUAGAAAUUGAAAGGAAUAAAAACAACCUGAUUAUUUUGAUGUGGUAACAGAGGGAUAUUGUCAUUUCCCAGACCUGCAAGGAACACCAUUACAAACGAUCCAGUCAAGUUUUGCCAGAACCUGACUCCAUGACUCAGUUUCACCUGUAACAAGGGGUGAUUCAUUGCUGCUGGCAAAGCAGUUAAGUGACAACAGUUACUUCUGCAACGUAUGACAUUGGAAGCUGGAACUUUAUGUGUGAAAUCUUAUGUUACAAGAUCGGGAUGUUACAGCACAUCAGCAUGGCUGCUCUAACACUCCUGCUACUUACUGCACGCAGGUGUUAUUGGUACUUGUGGGUUGACCACAAGUUUGGUAUUGACCUCAGGUGGUGAGUGUUUGAAAAGUGGCAACACCCUUUAUGAGCACUGAAGGCCUAGCAAAUUAAUACAGAUGACAUAAAAAAAAAAAAUAAAUAAAUCAGGUUGUAGCAUCUCAAAGAAUGAUGACCUCAUAUUGUAUUCAACACCCUUUGGCUGUCCAGCUGAAAUAAUCUCAUACUUAUUACCAUGGUGUUAAUUUGGAACCAGCUUUGGAGAAAGCUUUAAUUUACACUUCUGGAGCUGCAAAUGUCCCAUAACCACACUGCACCUCUCAGCUCUAUUGCUGCAGUUUCAAACGCUUUUCUCCAUGAAAUGAGAAUCACUUUGGCAACUAUCACAGAUGAUAAAACUGUCCAGUUCAAUGCACCAGGAGCAGCAAUGGGGGCUCAAAUGCUUUGUCUCAUUUCCUACAGUUAGUGCUUACAGGUAAAAUUCUCUGUAAUUAAUGGUUUGCAAGCAUUUCUUCUGCUCUUUAGUAAGGGAGAUGUAACAACUUAGUUGUAUUUUUGACCAGGAAAGGUUACUGAACUACAAUUUCCUUCCAGCUAAUGUUGCAAAAUGAGCAGGAUGUGCAUUUGUUGACUUGAACGUCACUUUUCAUGGAAAUUUUUGAAGAACACUAUAGAAGUGUGUGAAAGGGGAUAGCAACAGAUUACACUUCCACUCAUAGCCCUCGUUAUUAAAUUAAUUAAUAAGGCUUAAACUUCAAGGAAUAGAACUGGAAAGAAGAAAAAAAAUGACUUCAGGAGUAUGUUUGUGCAGCCUCAUCCAAAUGUUUAGGCUUUUAUGCCCAGUUUAAGAUAGGGCUCAAUUUAUCAUCAUAAGCACAGCGUACUGAAAGGUCCACUCAAAAUGAAAAAGCUGAUAUUUUUUUUGCCCUGGCAUAAAUACUUCAGCCAUGAUAGAUAAGAAGAAGUCCAAAGCUUUGUGCCACGGUAGUUCUUAUUUUUCAAAUCAGUGCUUUGGGACACUGCUCAGUGUUUUUCUUCCUAAAGAACUUCUGAAAUAAAAAUUGUGUCAUCCCUUAAAAUCAACAUCGUGCAUUCUGAAAGGAACGCUUGUUGUCCCAUAUCAGCCAGUAUGUGUCCUACUCUUUUCACAAUCCACUCUGAAAGGAAAUGCCAAACAUUAUUGCAGUCAUUCACCAAAAGAAAUUCCGGAUGAAAAGCAUUUAUCUGUUGCAGAAAGAAUAAGAGUAAGUAAGGUUUUCAUAUUGAUUUUUGAGUAUGUGUCUGAGAAUGUGAUUUGAUGCCAGUACAAAGCAUGAGCAGGGUGGCACAAGUUAAGACAACUAAUGCAUCUCUUGCCUUCUGAAAACAAUCAAAAUUAUACUUUAUCGUUCAAGCAGAACAUUAAGGCAAGUCAUAUCAUACCAUGAUGAGUUCCUCCCACUCCUUUAUUAUCCUCUCCUUAUUUCUUCUCUGAAUCAAAGGUAUUUCCCAAUAAUCCACACCUACAAUACUGUUUUAUUAUGUUUUGGACAGAUUAAUCCAGAAAGGAACAGUAUUUCUCAUUAGCAUGCAGUCAAAUUAGGGUUUCUGUGAAGGACUUCUGGAACUUAUUUUGAGAUCUGGAAAUAAUAAGGGUUGAGAUUUCCGAGGUGCUCAUUAUUAUAGAGAGGUUUGUGUUUUGUUUUGCUUUUUUUUUCUCUCCCUGCUGUAGUGCAGUGCUGAUCAUUUUAUCUUUAGGGUGAUUCCUAUUUUUUGAUGGAGUCCCAUUUUAUCUUGUGGCUCGAUGACAGCGGAAGUGAAAUAACCAAGAAGGCAGUCCAAGAACUGUGCUGCAGCAGCGUGAACAAGAGAUCAGGGCUGAGGAAGGCAUAGGAAUAUCAUCUUUUGGCAUCCCCAAAGUUGUAUGCCUCAAACUACAUCUUAAGUGGCAGUAACGUGGCCUAGAAAAUUACUUACUGUAAUCCAUGGUAUGAGACAUCAGGCAUGCUGCACAGGCGGGCAGAUAGCAUCUGAAGGAUUAGCAACAAUUGCUCUAAAGCCUCAAAGAACUGAGGUGCCAUCAAGUAAGUGGUAAGACAGCAGAAUUAUAAGACAUCAUGACGUUUUUAUUGCAGCAGGAAAGCUACAUUUAUUGAGCCGUAUAUAUUAACAUGUAGAUCACCUCAUUUCUUGGCAAGUUCAGUCAUGUUAACUUUUCCUGCUAGCAGCCAUGGGCAUGAAUUAAGCAAGUGUUGGGCAUCUCUACAACUAUGCUCGAUCCCUUCACUCUGACAGAAACCAACGAGGACAUCAGGCACGCAGCACUGCUCAGGAAGCAGUCAGAUCACACUGUUAUUACUUCUCCUUUACAAAGACUAUCACAACUAUCACAUUACAGCCGGAGCACUGGGCCGCAUGUGGCUGCUGUAGGAGAAAAAGAAAACAAGCAGGCUGGAGGCAGAAGAGCAGUUGCGUAAGGCAAGCAACAGGUGCCUCACAUCCUUCAGAUCGUGAAUAUGUCUCCCAGUGAUGUUUAUCUGCAAAAGGCAGAGCAGCAAAAUUGCAUUUUGGCAGUUUUGCUGGGUCCUGUCCUCAGGCAGACGUGCCAGCCAUGGCUUGUUUCAAAGUGAAUCAUUCCUUGUGGGGACAUCCACCGGCCAUUGUCAUGUCAUUUUACUUCGAGAGAGGAACUUUGUAAUGUCUUCCAGCAAGACAAUAAAGCCAUACCACAUCCUGUUGCAA